UGGGGAAUUUUGGACAAUGGGCGAAAGCCUGAUCCAGCAAUGCCGCGUGUGUGAAGAAGGCCUUCGGGUUGUAAAGCACUUUUGUCCGGAAAGAAAUCCUUGGCUCUAAUACAGCCGGGGGAUGACGGUACCGGAAGAAUAAGCACCGGCUAACUACGUGCCAGCAGCCGCGGUAAUACGUAGGGUGCAAGCGUUAAUCGGAAUUACUGGGCGUAAAGCGUGCGCAGGCGGUUUGCUAAGACCGAUGUGAAAUCCCCGGGCUCAACCUGGGAACUGCAUUGGUGACUGGCAGGCUAGAGUAUGGCAGAGGGGGUAGAAUUCCACGUGUAGCAGUGAAAGUGCGUAGAGAUGUGGAGGAAUACCGAUGGCGAAGGCAGCCCCCUGGGCCAAGUACUGACGCUCAUGCACGAAAGCGUGGGGAGCAAACAGGAUUAGAUACCCUGGGUAGUCCACGCCCUAAACGAUGUCAACUAGUUGUUGGGGACUUCAUUUCCUUAGUAACGUAGCUAACGCGUGAAGUU
RNAcentral lists this ribosomal RNA (521 nucleotides) under uncultured bacterium. RNAcentral describes it as "partial 16S ribosomal RNA". It matches the Rfam family "Bacterial small subunit ribosomal RNA", at positions 355 to 866 of the family's 1533-position model. The record is from RNAcentral.